ACAGUUAUUUCACUUCUAAAUAAAUAUGGUUUUUUAAAAGUGGCACGCGGUGGAAUGUAAUUGAGACAGGAUGGAGUUCCUAGAGAAAUUUUACUUCCUCAAUCUGCACUCCACCUUACUUAAAAUACAGUCUUGGGUCUGUAAUUCCCUUAUCUGACUCUCAAGGAAAUGACAAAGUAAUGCCUAGAUUGGACUAAACCUCAUUUAACUUCAAGGCUGACCUUUCUCAAAGUUGAACCUUCGUCUUGUGAGGAACAGAAAGAUCAAGAACUCUGAAGCACCUCGACUUUCCACCUGUGAAGAUGUGUUCAAAUUUGCAACGUGCGGCCACACCUAUGAGGUUGAACUUUAUACAAUUGGUUUCUUUAUAGGUUUAGAUGGUUGAAUUUAAGUUACCCCCACUGCUAUUAUUAUUAUUUUGAGACAGAGUCUUAACUCUGUUGCCCAGGCAGGAGUGCAGUGGCGAGAUCUGGACUCACUGCAACCUCUGCCUCCUGGCUUCAAGCAAUUCUCAUGCUUCAGCCUGUAGCUGGAACUACAGGUCACUCCCUCUGGAGGAAACCAGCUGCCACUUUGUGAGGAUACUCAUAGUCCUGUGGAGGCAUAUCCUCCAUAUGGCUGAGACCUCCUGCGAACAACCAUCACUGACUUGCCAGACAUGAGUGUGCCACCUUGGAAGCAGAUUUUCCAGCCCCAGUUAAGCCUUCAGAUGACAUCAGCCCCUGCUAAUCUCUUGACUACAACCUCAUGAGAGACCCUGAGCCAGAACUAGCCAGGCUUACCCCUCAUGGUUACAAAGUGGCUGCAACAGCUCCAGGUGUUCUAUCCUUUAACACAGAAUAACUCAAACAACAAGACCCAAUAUUCAGACAAGAAGGAAAGGGACUUUUGGAGAGUGAAGAAAACUUUCCUAGAAACCUCAAACUUCUCCCCAUGCCUUAUUGGCCAGAUUGUAUCCCAUGCCCAUUUCUAAACCAAUCAUUGGCAAAGUGAGUGGAAUUGACGUGAUUAGAUUAACUUUACCAAGAAUGCAUCCUCAGAGAGGCUGAGAAAAAGUCCAGCCUCCUUUGAAGAGCCUGGCUACCUUUCACCUGAACAAAACAAGAAUUCUGAUGAAAAAUGGAGAAUGUAUGUGGAGCAGGCACCCGGAGUGUCUAUGCCAGGAUUUUUUUUCAGUGCGUUUCACCGGUUAUAUUUUUGUCUCUUUACCUUACAAGAUAUGUGGCACGUUUGCCUAAAACAAGCCUUGCUUUCUGAUUUCUGUGCACUAGGCACUUAAACCUUGCAAAUGUCGCUUACCUAACAGUCACUGUCAAGGAGUACCUGGCUAAAGAAUCUCCAGCUAGACAAAGUAGAAGUGUCUGUGCUCUGGCAGUUGAAUAUAUUGUAUCAGGCUCAACAGCACCUUUCACCAAAGGAUGAGACUUCACAACCAUUAGAUCUUCUUUUAUUUUGUUUUUAUUAAAAAAAAAAAUUUUAACACACCAUUGCUAACUUGAAGCCAU
This 1505-nucleotide long non-coding RNA is filed under the name Homo sapiens (human). Its description in RNAcentral is "non-protein coding TRAM2-AS1:12". The record is from RNAcentral. Lineage: Eukaryota; Metazoa; Chordata; Mammalia; Primates; Hominidae.